RNA transcript from Daucus carota subsp. sativus, 1492 nucleotides. RefSeq lists it as uncharacterized. The record is from RefSeq and is a predicted model, not a curated record. Lineage: Eukaryota; Viridiplantae; Streptophyta; Magnoliopsida; Apiales; Apiaceae. The transcript has 2 exons.
CACUUGAGCUUGGAUAGGUUUGGGGACUAAAGGAGUUUUGUGCAAGACCUCGGGGUCUUUGUAAGUAUUGUCCACUAAGUCCGAGGACUUAAAUGUAGGUUUUAUCAUAGCCUUGCACAUAUAAUAUGCUUCGCACACUUUACGCACCUCGCAUGCUUUGCACGGCCUGCACCCUCUGGACCUUAUGUGGGAUGCCAAAUUUGUGGUGGACUUGGCUGCGUGAGAAUUUUAUGCAUUCUUUGUCAAUGAUGUGUGCAAGUGCUUUGGCCUCCACCUAUUUAGUCAUAUAACGCACAACCACAAUAACAUAUUUAAGACGUCCUGGGCAAGAGGAAAAUGUCUUAUAAGGUCGAUACCCCUGGUGGAAAAGGGCAUGGGCAAAAGGAGGCUUGUAUGCGUUCUGGAUCCGAACAUAGUUGGGAUGGUUGGGAUCACCUAUCUCACGGAUGAUAUUGGAAGAAACAAAAGAUGCUUCCAACCAUGUAUGAAGAGACGAAAAGAUGCAGCCAAAGGAUUUCUUCUGCCAAAACAUCUGAAGCAGUAAAAAAGUCACAAGCACAACAUUUUGCGCAGUCCACAUCUUCAAAUGCAAAGAGUGGCUUCUGGCUUGAGAGCUGCAGUAAGAUUGAAGGUGAUGCUCAAGCAGAAAUUCCGGAAUGGAUGGAGAACUUUUCUAGUGAUUCAAAGUGGUUAGGUACACGUAUAUGGCCACAGGAAACAGGAGUGGACAGCCACUGUUUAAUCGAAAAGGAUCCUGUUGGACUUGGGAGACGUGAUCUGUGUGAUUGUGAGAAUAAAGGUUCCCUUAAAUGUGUUCGAUUUCAUGUUUCUGAGGAAAGGAUUAGACUACAGCAUGAGCUGGGCACGGCCUUUUAUCAAAUGCAAAUUGACAAGAUGGGCGAGGAAGUUGCAUUAUCUUGGACUAACGCAGAGGAAAUGAACUUUGUGGCUGUAGUAGUAAAGUCAAAACAUUUGCGUGCCAAAAGAAAAAAUUCGGAAUCUUCUUCUGAAGAUGAUGAGGGUUUCUGGAAAGAACUGCUUCAAAUUUUUCCCAACAAAACUAGGCAACAGUUGGUGAGCUACUACUACAACGUCUUUCUUCUUCGGCAAAGAGCUCUGCAGAACAGGUCCACCGCAGUUGAAAUUAGCAGUGACGAUGAAAAUAGAGUUUGAAACAACUAUAAAUUGCAUUGGACAAACAGCGUGAGAUCUCCUAAACUCAGUUAUUGUUCGCCAAAAAGAUUCAUCUAAAUUUCAGAGAAUAGGUUGCAAAGUCUUGGCUAUAGCCGUUAAUUGCAGGAUUUCUGUGGGUUAUCUUGACUGUUCAUGUUUUCAAUUUUUCAUAGCACAUAAGUUUAGAAGGUAUAUGAAAGUUUACUCCGGAUUUUUUUUUUCAUAUGCCCGUGGAUAGUUUAUAGCCCUGUGAUGGCUAACAAUUUCUUUUCCCCGAAGGUUAACAAUUGUGUUUGGUUGAAUAUUUUCUCAUCCUUCA